AUUGAACGCUGGCGGCAUGCUUUACACAUGCAAGUCGAACGGUAACAGGCCUUCGGGUGCUGACGAGUGGCGAACGGGUGAGUAAUGCAUCGGAACGUACCCAGAGGUGGGGGAUAACGCAGCGAAAGCUGUGCUAAUACUGCAUGUGAUCUGAGGAUGAAAGCGGGGGACCGAGCAGCAAUGUUUGGCCUCGCGCCUUUGGAGCGGCCGAUGUCGGAUUAGCUAGUUGGUGGGGUAAAGGCCUACCAAGGCGACGAUCCGUAGCUGGUCUGAGAGGACGACCAGCCACACUGGGACUGAGACACGGCCCAGACUCCUACGGGAGGCAGCAGUGGGGAAUUUUGGACAAUGGGCGCAAGCCUGAUCCAGCAAUGCCGCGUGCGGGAAGAAGGCCUUCGGGUUGUAAACCGCUUUUGGCAGGAACGAAACGGUGUCCGCUAAUACCGGGCGAUAAUGACGGUACCUGCAGAAUAAGCACCGGCUAACUACGUG
RNAcentral lists this ribosomal RNA (492 nucleotides) under uncultured bacterium. RNAcentral's name for it is "partial 16S ribosomal RNA". It matches the Rfam family "Bacterial small subunit ribosomal RNA", at positions 29 to 507 of the family's 1533-position model. The record is from RNAcentral.